This 512-nucleotide long non-coding RNA is filed under the name Ananas comosus (pineapple). RNAcentral describes it as "long non-coding RNA (ACOM_LNC030672)". The record is from RNAcentral. Lineage: Eukaryota; Viridiplantae; Streptophyta; Magnoliopsida; Poales; Bromeliaceae.
AAAUAUUUAUAUUUAUAUUUAUACAAUCUACUAUCAAAAUAUCCAUUAAAUUAUAUUUUAUAUAAAUAUUUGUAUCGUACAAUACAACUUAAAUUUAGUAUAAUAUUUUAUAAGAUAAACUUCAAAUUGCUACCCAUGGUAUAGCUCAUUUUCACUUUGCGACUUUGUAGUUCCAAAAGAUUACUUUGUUCUUAUUUGAUUUAGCUCAUAUUUAUUUUGCCAUCCCAUAGUUUAAAAAAAUUCACCUUCCCCUUAUGAUUUAGCUCAUUUUUUAUCUUGCUAUUACGUGAUUUUUUUAAAAAAAUUUCACUUCAUUACCCUAUUUCAUAUAGUAUAUUUUUGGUAAAAUAAAAAUUAAACUAUUUAGGGGCCAAAGUGAAAUUUUUUCAACAACUAGGUGACAAACCGACAAUAAUGACCCAGACCGCUCUGCUAUUAGUAAGCCCCUAAAGUGCAGUGUAUGUAGUUUACUUUGGACAAAAAUUUUAUGGGCAUCGUGCCCAAACAAUUUA